UAAUAAGAAUUUCAGCUUUGGGUG
RNAcentral lists this non-coding RNA (24 nucleotides) under Cricetulus griseus (Chinese hamster). The record is from RNAcentral. Lineage: Eukaryota; Metazoa; Chordata; Mammalia; Rodentia; Cricetidae.